Long non-coding RNA from Triticum aestivum (bread wheat), 3169 nucleotides. RefSeq lists it as uncharacterized. The record is from RefSeq and is a predicted model, not a curated record. The transcript is spliced from 4 exons. Lineage: Eukaryota; Viridiplantae; Streptophyta; Magnoliopsida; Poales; Poaceae.
CUGUCGGUUGCACCUCCCAGCGCUCCCGCCCCUGCCAAGCUCCGCCGUCUGGAUCCACAUCCCCAUGGCAGGAACGAGUCCUCCUCGAGGAGCCGCGCAUCCUCUACCUGCUCCAACUGCGCACGUCCUCUGCUAGGUCGACUCCCGCCGCCUACGACGAUCGCUGCCGUCAGAUAUGCUCCAACUUGAGCGCCCCCAGGUACUGAAGGGUAAUGGAUUUGAAGGUUGCUAUAUCUUGAGUUGUCCCAUUGUCUUACUAAAUUCAGGAUUCAACUUAGGAGGGUGUACAGAAUAUCCAGGUUUGUAUUGUUUCCGGUGUAUGUUGGUCAUGCAUCGGAUGUCACUCAGUUUCUAGGAAAUUCGAGAUGGCAUGUAAGCUUCUCCUAUUUGAUGUAUUUUUACUUUCUCAAAAUCUCUUUAUUAAUACCAAUGAUGAUUUUAUUUCUGCCUGAUGACUUGCUGUCAUAUUGUUCAGCAAAGAAACAGACAAACAAGGAGAGAAAACUUAAACAAGAGAGAUGUAUGAGGAUGUCAGCGUCUCAGCAAACAUGUAUUGUGUGAGGACACCCUUCGUCCGACCUAAUCUUGACGAUCAUCUGUAGGAAUCUACAGCGGCACUUCAAAAUUCCCAGGCUGUUUUCAUCAGCAAGCUUACAGCUGACCACAUGAUGGAACUCGAUAAUACUACACUGUACGAUGUACUUGAGAUUCCAAUGAAUACCCGUCGAAGCGAUGUGGUCAUCAGCAUGUAUGCUCUCAAUCUCCUGCUAGGGUAUUUUCUCUUAAACGAUGCUACUGUCACAUGAUGCAUAUCAUGGUUUUUUUGCGUGGUAAUUUGACCUGCACAACACUUGUUGCUAUUAUCCUUUCGAGGAUGCAGAAUGAUUCUUUUGGGGUGCCAAUUAUGCUAGCUUUAUAUUGCUGAAUGUAGGAGCUUAUUUUUUCUUGUUAGUUAUUCAAUGAUAUUGGGCAGGGCAUCUCAAUGAACUAUUCUUUCUAAUUCCUGGAGUUACAUGUGUGAUUGCUUAGACUCUUCUAAUAGUGUCAUAGUCUGGUUGGUUGCUUGGCUGAAAUAGUUUCUUACAGGCCUCGUUCUGGACCUGUUCCCACAUAUAUAGAAUAUAUUUUCUACUGCUUUCAUCAAACAAAAAAGUCAUAAACAUGAAAUAUUUAAAGUUUUGUCUCGUUCAUACUUUCUAGAAUCUGAAACUGUACUGAAAUCAUCAUAGAAAUUCCGCAAGAAUAUUAAAGGCACCCGUGUCAUUCAUCCCUACUAGAUGAUGAAUGCUAUUGCUAAUUUUUUUUCUCAAAGAUGCCUCAUUUUCAUGAAGAAGAAAGCUCAGUAGACUAAAAUUCCAUAUCAUUUCUUCUUUCUUAAGGAAAACUGACUGCAGGCAGCAAUCACAGAUGUUCAGCCUAUUUUCAGUUGACAAUAUACUGAAUAAUUUGGCAGUGAACAAGUACAGAAAACUCUGUUAAGAAGCGAUAGUUUUGAACCUGAGUUUACAAAAGAAAAUGUACCAAUUCGUGUUGAAAAUAUCUUAGGCAUCAAGUCCACCAGGUUUGAGAUGUUCACAGAAACAUGUCAGUUUCAGGCAACUACAAUUCAGAAUUGUUUGCCACACUGUAACGUUUCAGGAAAUCAGAAACAUUUCCCAUGAUGUUAAUAUGUUGACUAGGGGCCUUUUGUAGCUACUUUAAUGAAAAUUUUAGUACCACAGUGUCCUGCUGCAUAUAUUAAAUUGCAAAGGGAAAGUAAUAAAACUUAGGACUUGGUUGUCUAUCUGAUCCAUCAGUAAGCAAGCAGGGGCCAUGUUGUCAAGGAACAGAGUUCAAAAACCACCAAUCUCAGGAACACUCUGGCCAUGUAUUUGAUUCUGUUAAAGACCCAAUAUAUGAUACGAUGCUAUUUUCAUUUGCUAGGCAACAAUGAAAACGUUUCUGUCCAAUUCAUAAUUUAAAUUAGUCAUGUGUGUUCUUUUAUCCAGUUAUUACAAUUUUACUCAUGUGUCUUCUUUUAUUUAGUUCUGUGAGGAAGAAGGGAUUACAUCGAUGUGUAAUAUGUUCUUUGUUCUACAACCAUACCUACAUGGGAUUAUAGUUCAGUUAGAAAUCUGAGAUUAUUUUCCUCUAGAAAUGAGCAUUAGCCCUCAGAACAGAAACGAACUGCACAACUAUGCUCCUACUUAAUUACGCAUUAAUCAAUAUGUUCAUUAUUACAGUAAGGUUAGAAACUGCAUUUGUGUAUUUGUACCAAGCUUCCUUGCUCAUCUCAUUCUGUGCCUACCAUGUUGUAUGUCGGAAAGCUGUGGUUUUGAUAUAGAGCUAUAGUUCAUCUAUAUGUUUCUGCUGCCUAUAUAUUAUUGAUGUGUUUCCCUCACCUGCUAUUUGAAUGACAUAAUCCUUCAGAUCUUUCCCAAAUUUUAUGUUAAAGCUAACAAGACCCCCCCUUCCUGUAAAUACAACUUUGAACGAAGGAAAGCAAUACAGGGCCGCCUUUAUAUCUUGGGUCACACCAUAGCAGGGAGCAAGAGUGGGCACAUCUGAGUUCAGAUAUUCAGUCACUGUUUUCCAAUCCAUCUCAAGCUCCAUAGGUCCUUUGGAAACUUUUGCCAGAGCAGCCAAACCAGGGCUAUCCGGGCUUCAGCUUCCUCCACACUGUCGGAAACUGGUCUAUAAUAUGCAUGCUUUGCCGGUUCCCUGCAAGCACUUUCGGCCAUGACCUCAAGUUCUGUAGGUAGGCCGUGAAUGUUUUGAUCCUUCUCACCGUCCACCGAUGAUGGCCCGACAGAAAUCAGGGAAGGAGAAAAGGAUGUUGUUGUCAUGGUCGUCGGAACGACUUGCCGUGGAUGCAGUUAUGCACUGGAUGACAUCAACGGCUAGCCAUGGACGAGCACCUCGCUGCCUCCGCAAAAUAUGGAUGCACGGGAUUCUGCUACUAACAUUUCAGUGUGUUCUGUUGCGGUGCUGUGACAUAUACACCUUCAGCGCGCAUGUAAUGUUUGUCAACUACUACUUUAGAUAAAUAACCACUGUAUUCUAUUGUAUGUGUAAUUGAAAUGUUCAUGUGUUUAAUCAUCUGGCAAAGAGGCUCACUGGAUGUUUCUUAUAAUAUUCUAUCUGUAAUAGACAUGUACGCAUGUAUUUAACCAUCUGGCAAAGAGGCUCA